Molecule: small nuclear RNA, 107 nt
Organism: Marmota marmota marmota (Alpine marmot)
Lineage: Eukaryota; Metazoa; Chordata; Mammalia; Rodentia; Sciuridae
Source: Ensembl
GUGCUUGCUUCAGCAGCACAUAUGCUAAAAUUGGAACAAUACAGAGAAGAUUAGCAUGACUUCUAUGCAAGGAUGACAGGCAAAUUUGUGAAGUGUUCCAUGUUUAA